RNAcentral lists this ribosomal RNA (465 nucleotides) under Vreelandella stevensii. Its description in RNAcentral is "partial 16S ribosomal RNA". It matches the Rfam family "Bacterial small subunit ribosomal RNA", at positions 338 to 795 of the family's 1533-position model. Lineage: Bacteria; Pseudomonadati; Pseudomonadota; Gammaproteobacteria; Oceanospirillales; Halomonadaceae. The record is from RNAcentral.
CCUACGGGAGGCUGCAGUGGGGAAUAUUGGACAAUGGGGGGAACCCUGAUCCAGCCAUGCCGCGUGUGUGAAGAAGGCCCUCGGGUUGUAAAGCACUUUCAGUGAGGAAGAACGCCUGGUGGUUAAUACCCAUCAGGAAAGACAUCACUCACAGAAGAAGCACCGGCUAACUCCGUGCCAGCAGCCGCGGUAAUACGGAGGGUGCGAGCGUUAAUCGGAAUUACUGGGCGUAAAGCGCGCGUAGGUGGCUUGAUAAGCCGGUUGUGAAAGCCCCGGGCUCAACCUGGGAACGGCAUCCGGAACUGUCAAGCUAGAGUGCAGGAGAGGAAGGUAGAAUUCCCGGUGUAGCGGUGAAAUGCGUAGAGAUCGGGAGGAAUACCAGUGGCGAAGGCGGCCUUCUGGACUGACUCUGACACUGAGGUGCGAAAGCGUGGGUAGCAAACAGGAUUAGAUACCCUUGUAGUC